This 407-nucleotide ribosomal RNA is filed under the name uncultured bacterium. RNAcentral describes it as "bacterial SSU rRNA". It matches the Rfam family "Bacterial small subunit ribosomal RNA", at positions 355 to 776 of the family's 1533-position model. The record is from RNAcentral.
UAGGGAAUUUUCCGCAAUGGGCGAAAGCCUGACGGAGCAAUACCGCGUGAGGGAUGACUGCCUAUGGGUUGUAAACCUCUUUUUUCAGGGAGGAAUAAAUGACGUGUACCUGAAGAAUAAGCAUCGGCUAACUCCGUGCCAGCAGCCGCGGUAAGACGGAGGAUGCAAGUGUUAUCCGGAAUCACUGGGCGUAAAGCGUCUGUAGGUGGCUCGACAAGUCAACUGUUAAAUCUUGAAGCUCAACUUCGAAAUCGCAGUCGAAACUAUCGAACUAGAGUAUAGUAGAGGUAAAGGGAAUUUCCAGUGGAGCGGUGAAAUGCGUAGAGAUUGGAAAGAACACCGAUGGCGAAGGCACUUUACUGGGCUAUUACUGACACUCAGAGACGAAAGCUAGGGUAGCAAAUGGG